Molecule: transfer-messenger RNA, 203 nt
Filed under: Actinomycetota bacterium
Lineage: Bacteria; Bacillati; Actinomycetota
Description: partial transfer-messenger RNA
Rfam family: transfer-messenger RNA
About the family: Bacterial tmRNA, also known as 10Sa RNA or SsrA, is named for its dual tRNA and mRNA-like properties.
Source: RNAcentral
GGGGGCGACCUGGUUUCGACGUGGUCGGUUCUCCGGCAGAGCUGCAAGCCGAGGUCCCCGGUCGGCCUCGUUAAUCCACCGGGAAACAGAACAAAUGCGAAGCAUGAUCUCGCAAUCGCUGCCUAGGUAACCCUAGAGCUGGCGACGUCGCUCCUGGCUCGGCCCGAGGUCAGGUAAGCGGCGCCAACGUUCGGGCUCGGCAC